RNAcentral lists this ribosomal RNA (383 nucleotides) under uncultured bacterium. Its description in RNAcentral is "bacterial SSU rRNA". It matches the Rfam family "Bacterial small subunit ribosomal RNA", at positions 30 to 414 of the family's 1533-position model. The record is from RNAcentral.
AUUGAACGCUGGCGGCAUGCCUUACACAUGCAAGUCGAACGGCAGCACGGACUUCGGUCUGGUGGCGAGUGGCGAACGGGUGAGUAAUGUAUCGGAACGUACCUUUCAGUGGGGGAUAACGUAGCGAAAGUUACGCUAAUACCGCAUAUUCUGUGAGCAGGAAAGCAGGGGAUCGCAAGACCUUGCGCUGAUUGAGCGGCCGAUAUCAGAUUAGCUAGUUGGUGGGUAAAGGCCUACCAAGGCGACGAUCUGUAGCGGGUCUGAGAGGAUGAUCCGCCACACUGGAACUGAGACACGGUCCAGACUCCUACGGGAGGCAGCAGUGGGGAAUUUUGGACAAUGGGGGCAACCCUGAUCCAGCCAUGCCGCGUGAGUGAAGAAGG